ACAUUGGGUAAGAGUGAAUUCCUGUCCAGCAACCACUUACUUAAUAAUUUGAACUUCAGAUGCUUCAUGUUGCCACGCUCCCUUUACACAUGUUCAAUACAUUUAAUCAUAAAAAGAGCUCAUGUAUGGAAAACACAUGCUUACUGUGACUAGGCCAGCACCAUAGCUCUGAGUCAAAUAAACUACCAUGGAUUUACCCCACAAUUCCAGGAAACUUUUUCUUUAGUAUGCACACAGAAUAUAUAAACAAAGUUAUAAAUAUCAGCUGUGUUAUUUUGCUACAUUUCAUGCUUCACUUGUUUGGGUUUCUUUCACCCAGAACUGGGUAUUUCCCUAGGUUCUAGUACUGUCAUUUAUUUUUCAGUGAUACAGUUUUUUUUCCUUCUGCAGUAUUAAUUUGUACACCAGGGCUGCAUAAGCACUAGGACAUGGGAUGAAAGCCACAACAGACUUGUAAAUUUUUUAAAGAUAUCUGCAGGAAAGGAUCACACUUAUUUAGUUUUCUGAGAAUAUGUAAAAUCUUUUAUGACUGGAAAGAAAUGCAGGGAACAGGCCUGCAUGACAUUUCUUUUCUAGCACAUGGUUGAUGUGUUAAAAUAGAUGCUAGUAUAGUGUCAAAAGGGAGUAGCACUGCCAGCACUCACCCUGAAGAGAAAGAGGAAUUUUGAUGGAUUUUGAGAAAAUAUGAUUAAAAAAAAAGCAUAUUGGCAUUCACUGCUUAUGAUGUGCUUCAUCUGCUCUCAGUAGGCUCAUUGCUGAUAAUGGCAUAUUAGCAUCAGUACCUCUUUUUGUCAGCCCUUCUGUCUGGUGCACACAUCCAACCAUGACCAUGAAUAUCUCUCUAGGUUUCUUUUUCCCCAUCUUGACAUCAGCUGCCUUGGAAAUGAUUUUCCUGUGGUGUGCAAAGGUGAUCUCUUGACACAGAGACUCUGCCCUGAGGUAUGUGCAGUGGAUUUACAAUCUAAUUAAUAGCGAGGAAAGGGUGACUGGUGCAAAUACCAACUGGGUUGAGAUCUAUGACUGCUGAGUGGGACAGAAAGCUGCCGUAGAUGAAACUAGCAGCACAUGCUGCUUCUGUGCUGCUUGGUCCCCUAGGGAUGGCCACGUGAGCAGCGUGAAUUUUUACCAGCACAGCUUGAAGAGCAUUUGGAGCUGGCAGUGCAGGACCAGAGUUUCGUCAUCUUCUCUUGUGUUUUUCUUACUCAUGCCUGAAAGUAUGAGGAAAUAUUCUUCUUCAAAAGAAUAUUUUGCAUAUCAAUAACCUGCUUCAUCCAAAAUCUCAAAGGACUCUAUAUACAGUCAUUAAGUGCAGUUCCUAUCGCACUCAUACUCAUGGAGAAGUUGGUAAGUGAACUGAGAAGAAUACACCCAGGAGAGCUGACCCUGUGCACUCUUUCUUAACCUGCAAAUUACAUUUUCCUUAAAAACAAAUAAAUGACCCUAAAAAUCCCUCAGAAGCUUUAGUUACAGAAAGAACAGCAAGAAACACAGCCUUAGUGACAUCACAAAACCCCAUACUUAGUCUGGAACUGUUAGAAAUGUUCAAGAGCAUGUCGGGAAGUAAAACUGUAACCAUGUGGCUUUGGGAAGUCAUGGCAUGCCCAGCCUAUUACUUGCUUCAGUAGCUGGGUGCAACAAGAUCAGCAUUCAUAAAAACAACAAACUGGCUGAGAUACAAGGAUACUUGAAUUCCUUUUUGCUGUUGAGGUGGCUGGAAGGGCUAUUAAGACUAGCCUUACAAUUGCACAAAGGCACAAUUGCAGGACACAGCCUAGGAGAGGAGAGUGGAGAAUCUCAAGCGAAAAAUAUCCGUGUGUAUGGCAGAUGAUCUCAUUUCAGACCGCGACUCCCUGGGAUAACAUGUGCCCACCUGUCAGUGUUUCAGCUUCUGACAAAACAUGAUACCAUGACUCUGUAUGCAGUUUCCAGAGUCUUAGGCUACAGUUCAGUCUAACCUUCAGACAAAGAGUUUGCCAUGCACAUCAAAAGACCAUUUAAGAUGAUGACCCAUCAUUGCUAAAAUUUCUGAAGAAUGCAGACUUCUUGGAACCGAUGCAGGAACUUCUGUCAGCCUACUACAAGAUCCACUUACCCCCAGCUGAGGUCAGCAAAGAGGUGAAGUAAUAAACAGGCUUAAGAAAGGUCAACUACACAGGGUCAGGCCAAGGAGCUCUUUAGCUCAGCAUCCUGUCCCUGACAGCAUAUACCUAAGGGAAGGCAUAAGAAAAGGGCAAGCAUAAAUGAAGCAAUCUUUCUCCUCUUUGAAAGGGGAUAUCUCUGGCUCACCAGUGAGACCAAUGAGUUGAAGCAAACCUGAAAUGAAAAACUGCUUCAUCUGAUAUUUUCUCUUCAAUAUAUGUAUUUGAAUAAGAUUUGAGCAAUCUCAGGUACCACUGAUGAGAAAUCAGGACCAAACUUAAAGUGUGGGAGUCUGAUGAUGUGUUUAAGACAAAUUAGUUGGGCAUUGCAUAGUGUUGUCUGUGGGCUGUGUAUCUAUUCUGCUGACAGAGGAGAGACACUACCUGCAUACCUUCCUGACCCACAGUGCUGAAUAAUCCCAGAUGCAUGUCCUGAUGGGUUAGCUGACCAGCAUGAAUCAGCCUUAUCCUUUAUCUAUAAAGGCACAGGUAUGGGAGGCAGAUAGAUAAAUAUUGGCUUUGUAUUAAUGAGGUGGGGAAGACCUUAAUUUCCAUACAGGUUCUGGAUCUUCCUUACUGUCCUGCUUAAGUUUGACGAUAUUUAAAUUCACUGUAACACUUUGUCUUUUUCAGUAUAAUGGUUAAAAAAUAGGUAUCUCUACAGGAAACAGUAAUUUUAUUAUGAAAAUGCAUUGAGCUAUGUGGGAUUUCCUGUCCUUUUCCUGUGACAUCUUAGUAUUGCUGAUGGUGACAGAUCUUUGGCUGGGAUCACUGUGUAGAUGCACUGAAUUCAGUUGGUACCUGAGCAAGCUAGUGAGGUAUACCAGAGAUACUGAUAUCUAUGAAUGUGUGACUGUGGGAGGAGUGAUUUAAACUUAAGCUUUAAGGCUGAGAUACUUUGCAACAGAAGAGUUGUAUUUCCCUAAUUUUUUACCAGUGAAGAUCAAGAAUGGAUAUUCUUAUCUUGGGAAAACUCUCUGGCAGUGCUAAUGUUUGUCUCAAAACCUGUUUCCGGUGGUGGCUGCAGUAGACGUCUGUCAAAGAUUCCCAAAUACUGAGGCAAAGAUAAAAAGUCAGAACAAGCUCAGUAUAACCUCUGAGAAACAAGAACCAAAAAGCUGCUAGAACUCAGAAUUCUAAGAAGUCCUUGCCUUUUCCUUUUGAAGAAAAUGCCUUCCCCAUCCCAGAACUGUAAUUUAAUUCCUUAAUUUACAUGGCUUUUAAAAUAAACUUUUUCUUCCAAAAGACCCACAAAGAAUACUGUAUGUAAAUACACGAUGAAAACUUUCUAGUCAGUGUCCGUCUUCCUCUGGUUAUUAGUAACACAUCUUUCAAACUCUGAAGGACUGAGCAGCACUGAAUUUAUUUUUAAUUACAUAGUAAUGUGUUCAUCACAGAGGUCCUACUUAACAGAAGGAAUUGACUCUGGAGUGGUUCCUUAAGGAAACAGUAUCCUCGCCAAUAGAGAGCUUGAAAUCUGGGGAAGAGCAGAGUUUGGAAGAACAGACAUGGUCUAAGCUGUAUGGGGCCCCUUGUCACUGUGUUAAUAUGUGAUACACAGAAGAGAAAAUUGAAGUUAAUUCUUGCGUUCCAUGAAAUAAACUUAGAAACUUACAGAUUGGAGGUGGGGAAAUUUCCCCUUUAGGUGCGUCUUCUUAGUAAGUGUUACAUGAAGAUGAUGCCUCCCUCUUCAAACACUGCAGAUGUAGUAAUCUGUAUUUGCUCAAAACCAGACUUCAACUUGCUUUCGGAUCCUGAAAAAGUCUUAUGUCAAAGGACCCUUCCCACUGGCACUAGUACUAGAGGCAUAAGAAUGUGAUAGGCUUCUUCAGCUGGAAGAAAUCUUGCCUUCUGGGAUGUCUCAAAUAGGAGAAGCAGAUUUGGGCAUGGAAAUUAUAACUGGCUGAUGGGUGUAGCCACACACCUUAUAUGUGUUGAAAUUAAUUAUGUGACGGGAAUCUUCACCUGAAUUUCAGUGUUCAGGGAAGUGAUUUGCAGACUUGCUAGGAUUCCCACUUUCGGAUUCCUGUAAAGUACUUAUAUUAAAGAACCUAAUUUGAUUUCCAGAGUUCUCUCUCACAUUUUCCAGCAUCAUGCCUUCCUCACACUUGACUUUGUGUAGGAAGAUAGCUUUUAGCUUGCUCUUUGGCUCCUCGUGUGAUAACUGGAAAAAGAUAGGAGAAGUUGCCAAGUGUUCCUUUAAUACCUGAACUAGGAAUCCUGUCCUGCUAUGAAGGGUGGGUUAAAUUAAAGACUGCAAGGGCAUCAGAAGAGGUAGCAGUGGGACUGAAGGUCUCAAAAAAGUCUGUGCAUUAGUGAGAGGCAGAUAAUCUCCAGUCUGAUCUUUCCACGUAGAAGGAGGAAUGCUGCUAUUGGUACAUGAUAUCCCCAAGAAUACAUGGGGCAUGAGACUGAUGAUGACAUUCUUAUUAUGUAUUUACUGAACCUGGAAGCCACAGCUGAGAUCAAAGACGAAAUCAGACUUGUGUUCCAACGGUAAAAACAAGCACAAGAAUGGAAAAUGAAUCCCACACAUGGCUCUCACCAUUCAAGAACAGGGUUCUUGGCCCUCACCUCCAGCAUUCUUCCUCUAGAACUAUUGACUUGCAACGAGAUAUUGAUUCACCUACGGUUGUAUAUACACACACGUUUAUCAGGAGUUAUUUUUUGAGAAUUUGAGGAUUGUCUAGAUUCCAAAUUUGGAAGCUUCCAAUUUUCCAACUUGGAAGUUUAUUUCUGUACAGUAUUUGAUCCAUUGGCGGGGGAAGGUGGGGAGUGUUAAAUAAUGCUAUAUGUUGUUCUCUCACUUCCCUUCAUUUAAUUUCAUUUUGUCUAAUACAUUAAGACUUUCCUGUUCCUAUGUGAUACAAAACAGUUUGAUGUAGAAGUGCUCAAACUGCCUCACAUCAAGCUAUCCUGGAUGGUAUAUCUUGUUGAGCUUCACUGCUGUUGAGCAUUCCACCUAGCUUGUUUGGACUUCAUGAGAAAUGGGAUCUGUUUGCUGCAGAAGAGAAUCACAUUAAUGGUUUAUGCUGAUGUCUGGGUUACUUCUUCAGGUCCAGCUUAUUAGCUAGUGUUGUGCCCUGCAGAACUCAGCUUCCAUCCUUGGAAGAAACUGAGAUGGCAGAAUGCAUCCUGUACCACACCAGUCUAAAAAUAAGCCACCAGAACAACAGGCAACAGAACAAUUUCUGCAAGAUGUUUGUGUCCUAAGCUCUUGGCUAACUUCUUUCCUAAGUUGCCACAUCCCCAGCCUGUCUGAAUCCCAUCUACAGCUUCAAGAGUUUCCAUCUCAUCUUGUGCACAGACCAUGAAUAACUGCCUUGUUAUGUAUAUGCACGAUGGAAGGGUGGGGUGGAAAAAACUCUGGUAGGAGCCUGUCUUGAGCUUGCAGUA
Numida meleagris (helmeted guineafowl) is the source of this 5534-nucleotide long non-coding RNA. RefSeq lists it as uncharacterized. The transcript has 3 exons. The record is from RefSeq and is a predicted model, not a curated record. NCBI's taxonomy places the organism in Eukaryota, Metazoa, Chordata, Aves, Galliformes, Numididae.